This 449-nucleotide ribosomal RNA is filed under the name uncultured bacterium. Its description in RNAcentral is "partial 16S ribosomal RNA". It matches the Rfam family "Bacterial small subunit ribosomal RNA", at positions 29 to 523 of the family's 1533-position model. The record is from RNAcentral.
AAUGAACGCUGGCGGCAGGCCUAACACAUGCAAGUCGAACGAGGUAGCAAUACCUAGUGGCGGACGGGUGAGUAACGCGUGGGAACGUGCCGCUUGGUACGGAAUAGCACUGGGAAACUGGGAGUAAUAACGCAUGUGGUCGAGAGACGAAAGAUUUAUCGGCACGGGAUCGGCCCGCGUUGGAUUAGGUAGUUGGUGGGGUAAUGGCCUACCAAGCCGACGAUCCAUAGCUGGUUUGAGAGGAUGAUCAGCCACACUGGGACUGAGACACGGCCCAGACUCCUACGGGAGGCAGCAGUGGGGAAUCUUGGACAAUGGGGGAAACCCUGAUCUAGCCAUGCCGCGUGAUCGAUGAAGGCCUUAGGGUUGUAAAGAUCUUUCAGUGGGGAAGAUAAUGACGGUACCCACAGAAGAAGCCCCGGCUAACUCCGUGCCAGCAGCCGCCGUAA